UGGGACUUCACCUUGUGAUCAAUUUCAUUCCUGCAGAAACCACAAUAAAGGGACGUGCCCUCAGUUGCCCUGUCUCCCUCUGCCUCAUGACUGACCGCGGUGCAUGACCUGAGUGGCCUUGUGUGGCCUGCUGCUUUCUCCCCAGUGAACUGUGAAUUACUAAUUGAGGCAUAUUUUGUGACUAUGGCAGAGGCAAAAAAGUACAAACAAGUAAGUGCUUCUUCAAACCUUAUUUAUAUAUUG
RNAcentral lists this long non-coding RNA (243 nucleotides) under Homo sapiens (human). RNAcentral describes it as "non-protein coding lnc-FANCM-5:3". Lineage: Eukaryota; Metazoa; Chordata; Mammalia; Primates; Hominidae. The record is from RNAcentral.